CCUACGGGAGGCAGCAGUGGGGAAUAUUGGGCAAUGGAGGCAACUCUGACCCAGCAAUGCCGCGUGAGUGAUGAAGGUAAUUUUAUUGUAAAGCUCUUUUCUUUGGAACGAAUAAAUGACGGUACCAAAGCAAUAAGCCCCGGCUAACUACGUGCCAGCAGCUGCGGUAAUACGUAGGGGGCAAGCGUUGUUCGGAAUGCCUGCGCGUAAAGGGUGUGUAGGUGGUUUGAUAAGCUCUAUGUGUAAUACCCAGGGCUUAACUCGGGUGCUGCAUCUAAAACUGUUAGACUCGAGUACUGGAGAGGAUAGUGGAAUGCCUAGUGUAGCGGUGAAAUGCAUAGAUAUUAGGAGGAACAUCGAUUGCGAAGGCGGCUAGCUGGAUAGCAACUGACACUGAGGCACGAAAGCGUGGGGAGCAAACAGGAUUAGAUACCCGUGUAGUC
Molecule: ribosomal RNA, 443 nt
Filed under: uncultured bacterium
Lineage: Bacteria
Description: partial 16S ribosomal RNA
Rfam family: Bacterial small subunit ribosomal RNA
Source: RNAcentral